AGGGAAAGUUGAAAUAGAACUUUGCAGAGAGAGUUAACAGGGCGUGAAACCGUUAAUUGGCAAACGAAUCGGAGCCACGAAGUCGUUUCGUUGUUUAGCCUGGACUAGGUUCAGCUGGGGUCUCGCAAGGGGCCCUAGUGUAUUCCUGAGUCUGGCCAAACCUUGUAAGCGUACACUGCAACCAGUUAGACGAUCAGCAGUGGGCACAGUGGUUGGAGUCAGCCAGCAAUGGUCGGUUCCUUCUACGAAGCAAUUGUUUGUGUGGGUUAGUAGUAGUGCGGUUGUGCCUCGGUGCUUCUCGUGUUGCUGGGCCCAUGCAAGUGAACUACAGCUGAAUACUGACUGGCGAAAUGAAAAUCACCUUUUAGGUGUUAGAGACAAAGCAGCUAGCCAGACGUGGGCCUACACGGUCGACUGUUAGGUCUAAGCUUGGCGCUCUUGAAUUCAGACUUGCUUGCUACCAGUGGGGCAACUCCUGGUGCUUGUAUAGCUUCUGUCUAAUCGGGCGUCGACUUGGCUUGGCAUUGUUCGGUCGUGCUACGAUAGGGUUUGCGUCUGAGUUGGUUUGCAAUGUGAAU
This 578-nucleotide ribosomal RNA is filed under the name Aceria tosichella (wheat curl mite). RNAcentral describes it as "partial large subunit ribosomal RNA". The record is from RNAcentral. Lineage: Eukaryota; Metazoa; Arthropoda; Arachnida; Trombidiformes; Eriophyidae.